CUGCAGUGAUGAUUACAACCAUAUUGUGUACUGAAUAUAAUAUGUGGUUUCACAAACGAGCUUUUUAAAUCUGAGCAGC
Pocillopora damicornis (cauliflower coral) is the source of this 79-nucleotide small nucleolar RNA. NCBI's taxonomy places the organism in Eukaryota, Metazoa, Cnidaria, Anthozoa, Scleractinia, Pocilloporidae. The record is from RefSeq and is a predicted model, not a curated record.